AGCGAACGCUGGCGGCAGGCCUAACACAUGCAAGUCGAGCGGGCGUAGCAAUACGUCAGCGGCAGACGGGAGAGUAACACGUGGGAACGUGCCCUUUGGUUCGGAAUAACUCAGGGAAACUUGAGCUGAUACCGGAUAAGCCCUUCGGGGGAAAGAUUUAUUGCCAUUGGAGCGGCCCGCGUCGGCUUAGCUCGUUGGUGAGGUAAUGGCUCACCAAGGCGACGAUCCGUAGCUGGUCUGAGAGGAUGACCAGACUCACUGGGACUGAGACACGGCCCGGACGCCUACGGGAGGCAGCAGUGGGGAAUAUUGGACAAUGGGCGCAUGCCUGAUCCAGCCAUGCCGCGUGGAUGAUGAAGGCCCUAGGGUUGUAAAGUCCUUUUAACGGGGAAGAUAAUGACGGUACCCGUAGAAUAAGCCCCGGCUAACUUCGUGCCAGCAGCCGCCGUAA
Molecule: ribosomal RNA, 451 nt
Filed under: uncultured bacterium
Lineage: Bacteria
Description: partial 16S ribosomal RNA
Rfam family: Bacterial small subunit ribosomal RNA
Source: RNAcentral